UCUGUUUACAACAGUGUCUGGAGAGAGAUCAGUGGCCAACUUGCCAGUGUUUCAAAGUAAGUGGGGUUAAACAUGUAUGUGUAUAAUGUAAAUAUUAUUACAAUGCUGUAUUUUAUGCUCACAACCUAAAAUACUGUACAAAUAAGAGAACUGUUUCUAUAUAUUUGUGUUUAUCACAAUAUGUCAAAACAUGUGAAGGGUGGAGACCACCUGCCAACACAAUUGUUUUUCAACAGUUAUUCAAUGUAUCCUAAUUUAGUGGCUUUUUUGUACACUUUAAAACAGGUUCCAGUCAGUCCUUUUCAUCACUGGGCCCUACUGCUCGCCAGUUUGAGGAUUUCCAACGGCUGAUUCUUCAGCAUCAGAGGGAAAUCGCAGAGGAAGUGAGGGAGUUGCGCUAUCAGACAACACUGAACCGUAACCUCUUACUACAGCUGACCAAUGGGACACAUUUGGACAUGGCUCUGCCAGAGGACGUUCUACUUCCUCUGAAAGAUCGGCUAAUGCUGGAAGAACUUGAACAAAGGCUUGCUCAAGAUGUUGAACUUCAAGAGAAACUGGUCAGGUUUUUGGCUGCUAAAGGGGGAAAAUACACCAAAGACUCAGUGAAGAGGAUGUUCUCCUGCAUGUUCAGCAAUGAUUUAACAAAGCUC
Molecule: long non-coding RNA, 653 nt
Organism: Osmerus eperlanus (European smelt)
Lineage: Eukaryota; Metazoa; Chordata; Actinopteri; Osmeriformes; Osmeridae
Exons: 3
Source: RefSeq, a predicted model, not a curated record